AGGACGAACGCUGGCGGCGUGCUUAACACAUGCAAGUCGAGGGCACUUAUGCAGCAAUGUGUGAGUGACCGGCGAACGGGUGCGUAACACGUGAGCGACCUUGCCUCGUGGUGGGGGAUAGCCGGCCCAACGGCCGGGUAAUACCGCAUAGGGUGGUCUUUUCGCAUGGAGAGACCAGCAAAGCCUUGCAGCAAUGCAAUGGCGCCACAGGGGGGGCUCGCGGCCUAUCAGCUAGUUGGGGGGGUAAUGGCCCACCAAGGCUAUGACGGGUAGCUGGUCUGAGAGGACGACCAGCCACACUGGAACUGAGACACGGUCCAGACACCUACGGGUGGCAGCAGUCGAGAUUUUCACAAUGGACGAAGUCUGAUGGAGCGACGCCGCGUGGAGGAUGAAGGUUUUCGGAUUGUAACUCCUGUCACUGCAGAACAGGAUGUGUGUAUGAACAGUACAUGCAUUUGAUGGUAUGA
Molecule: ribosomal RNA, 470 nt
Filed under: uncultured bacterium
Lineage: Bacteria
Description: SSU rRNA
Rfam family: Bacterial small subunit ribosomal RNA
Source: RNAcentral